This 324-nucleotide ribosomal RNA is filed under the name uncultured eukaryote. Its description in RNAcentral is "partial 18S ribosomal RNA". It matches the Rfam family "Eukaryotic small subunit ribosomal RNA", at positions 1470 to 1796 of the family's 1831-position model. The record is from RNAcentral.
CCCUUAGAUGCUCUGGGCCGCACGCGCGCUACACUGGUCGAUGCAACGAGUUCCUUUCCUUGGCCGACAGGCCUGGGCAAUCUUUGAACAUCGAUCGUGAUCGGGAUAGAUUCUUGUAAUUUUUGAUCUUAAACGAGGAAUUCCUAGUAAACGCAAGUCAUCAGCUUGCAUUGAUUACGUCCCUGCCCUUUGUACACACCGCCCGUCGCACCUACCGAUUGAAUGGUCCGGUGAAAUCUCCGGACUGGCGUGAGUCGGAGCAAUCUGACAAACGCCGGAAAGUUGAUUAAACCUUACCAUUUAGAGGAAGGUGAAGUCGUAACA